RNAcentral lists this ribosomal RNA (253 nucleotides) under uncultured bacterium. RNAcentral describes it as "partial 16S ribosomal RNA". It matches the Rfam family "Bacterial small subunit ribosomal RNA", at positions 524 to 776 of the family's 1533-position model. The record is from RNAcentral.
UACGGGGGGGGCAAGCGUUGUUCGGAAUUACUGGGCGUAAAGGGCUCGUAGGUGGCCAACUAAGUCGGAUGUGAAAUCCCUCGGCUCAACCGAGGAACUGCAUCCGAUACUGGCGGUCUUGAAUCCGGGAGAGGGAUGUGGAAUUCCAGGUGUAGCGGUGAAAUGCGUAGAUAUCUGGAGGAAUACCGGUGGCGAAGGCGGCAUCCUGGACCGAGAUUGACACUGAUGAGCGAAAGCUAGGGGAGCAAACGGG